GAUGAACGCUGGCGGCGUGCCUAAUACAUGCAAGUCGAGCGAACAGACGAGGAGCUUGCUCCUCUGACGUUAGCGGCGGACGGGUGAGUAACACGUGGAUAACCUACCUAUAAGACUGGGAUAACUUCGGGAAACCGGAGCUAAUACCGGAUAAUAUAUUGAACCGCAUGGUUCAAUAGUGAAAGACGGUUUUGCUGUCACUUAUAGAUGGAUCCGCGCCGCAUUAGCUAGUUGGUAAGGUAACGGCUUACCAAGGCAACGAUGCGUAGCCGACCUGAGAGGGUGAUCGGCCACACUGGAACUGUGACACGGUCCAGACUCCUACGGGAGGCAGCAGUAGGGAAUCUUCCGCAAUGGGCGAAAGCUUGACGGAGCAACGCCGCGUGAGUGAUGAAGGUCUUCGGAUCGUAAAACUCUGUUAUUAGGGAAGAACAAAUGUGUAAGCAACUAUGCACGUCUUGACGGUACCUAAUCAGAAAGCCACGGCUAACUACGUG
Molecule: ribosomal RNA, 497 nt
Filed under: uncultured bacterium
Lineage: Bacteria
Description: partial 16S ribosomal RNA
Rfam family: Bacterial small subunit ribosomal RNA
Source: RNAcentral